This 376-nucleotide ribosomal RNA is filed under the name uncultured Serratia sp. RNAcentral's name for it is "bacterial SSU rRNA". It matches the Rfam family "Bacterial small subunit ribosomal RNA", at positions 521 to 896 of the family's 1533-position model. The record is from RNAcentral. Lineage: Bacteria; Pseudomonadati; Pseudomonadota; Gammaproteobacteria; Enterobacterales; Yersiniaceae.
UAAUACGGAGGGUGCAAGCGUUAAUCGGAAUUACUGGGCGUAAAGCGCACGCAGGCGGUUUGUUAAGUCAGAUGUGAAAUCCCCGGGCUCAACCUGGGAACUGCAUUUGAAACUGGCAAGCUAGAGUCUCGUAGAGGGGGGUAGAAUUCCAGGUGUAGCGGUGAAAUGCGUAGAGAUCUGGAGGAAUACCGGUGGCGAAGGCGGCCCCCUGGACGAAGACUGACGCUCAGGUGCGAAAGCGUGGGGAGCAAACAGGAUUAGAUACCCUGGUAGUCCACGCUGUAAACGAUGUCGAUUUGGAGGUUGUGCCCUUGAGGCGUGGCUUCCGGAGCUAACGCGUUAAAUCGACCGCCUGGGGAGUACGGUCGCAAGACUG